UAAUUCUCUCUCGCUGUCUCCCUCUCACAGGGGAAAGUGCGACACACUACCUCGUGAAGAACACAAUAAGAACCUUCAAGGAACUGGGGGUCCUGAAAGAGAGCCGCGAGAAGAAAGUCACGCUGCUGGAGGUCAGCAGCACCUUCCUACCUCAAGCAAACAGAACAAAGCUCCUUCAGUACAUCCUGGGUUUCAGCCUCUUGUAAAGCGUGACACACACACACACGCACGCACACACACGCAAAUAUGCGCACAUGCAAGUACACAAACACACAAAUACUCUGCAAAAAGGGCUUUUGCUGGCUAGUUAAAAAAGGUGCUAUUCUAUGGCAAAGCUUUACCAGGAAGUGCCUUCAUAAAAUGAAUUUACGGGAUAAUAGGCUUCUCUUCAGUCUUCCUCCGGAUUAGACAUUUAACACGUGACGUGCAGCUAAUCGCUCAGAGCAGUGCUUGUGCACCACCCGUAAUCCCUGAAUGUACAUUUGAGCGUUUUCGCCAGUGAAAGCCCUAGCUUUUAAUCACUUUUUUUGUUUUAACCAUGAGAAUGGGGUUUUAUUCAUCUCUGCUGUUUGUCCUCGCUCAAUAGGGCACGAAUGUCAUGCUUGGCACCCAGCAGGUUUCCUUCGCUGUGUCAAAAAAGUGAGGUGAGACCGCAGAUACACCACCGUCGGGAGAUGAUCGUGACGGUUACGAAUGGUGAUAAUGAACGGCGAUUAUCAAGGGCAUUUUAUUCUGUUUGCUUUUGAAGCAUGUGUCUAGGGGAGUAAAACAAAGUGCUUAAGGCUUAAGGAUUUCCAGUAUCGUGGAAACUCCAGGAACUGUAAGGCAGACGCUAAAUUUGAGGUCAUCUCACUCUCUGAGACGCUACAUUGUGUCUUGUGAGAGACUAGUUUUGCUUUCUGAGAAUUAGACUGAGAGUUCUAGAUAUUGUACUUGCCCAAGUGGUAUUAGAUUCAGUUUGUGGCUGGGAUAUUAAUGUGGUGACAUCAGCUGCAGAGCAAAUAUGGUAUUCUCAGUGAUCUGUAGAAUUAUCCAUUGAAGAAAACAUUCGAGUUUGACUGCGCUAUCCCAUUAUUUCUACCCGUCUGUCGAGUGAUGUCAUUAUAGUUAACACCCAAAUAAUGCAUUACAUUCAGUCAACCUUGCCACAGUGUUACAUAAACAAUGUGUGUUGUUUGGGUGUACUUUCUAUCAGUGGUACAGCAGUACAAAAACAAUGUGAGUUUGUUAUAUGGUGGUGCAUUCUGUCAAUGUUGCUACAAUGUUACCUAAACAAUGUGAGUGUGCAGAUCAGAUUUAUAUUCUGUCAGCUUUGCUACAAUGCUAUGUAACCACCCAAACAGUUGUACAAUGCCGUUGGGUGUGACCUGUUAGCAUUUCUCAGCAAGUGCAAAAUGUGUAGGUUUCCAUUGAACAGUCAAUGUUGUGGUUCCUUUGUAUGUUUGAGAAGAGCGUGUUAGCAGCGUUGGGAUUUCUUUUCCAGUUUUAAAUGUAUCGGAAUAGCCUUACUGCACUUCACUGUUGCAUUAAACAUUCUUUAGCUCCUGAAGAUGGAUGGAAUCCCUGAGAAAAGUCAAAACUUAACCCACAGCUUUCUGUCUUUCCAUUUUGCACUGUAUACUACGAGUUAAGUGUAGUACUCUUUGAUUGGUUGAAGUGUGAAAGGGAAGACUACAGGAGAGCUACACCCAUAAGGCGGACUGAAGCAAGUUAUUUGAUAAACUUGGCAUAGCCUCGUGUUGCUUAAGGUGGGCUAAAACUCCCAUGAAUGUGAAGUUUGAAGAUGCACAUUGUCCACAUAAGUACAACUUGUAGGAGGGCAUCAGCGCCACACAGUGAGGAGCCAGGUGGUCAAAAUUUUAAAGCGUGGCCCCCUUUUCGUGUCCAAAAAAAAAAAGUUAUGUGUUAUAUUUUGUAACAUUGCUGUUGCAAUUUCGUUUCAGUUAUCACCACAACCGUGUAAGCUAUGAUAAACCUAGGUUACCCUCAGCUAACCCUAACUUGAAAAUAGGUAGUAAAUCAUUAGAAUAAUUGGAUUGGAUGAAGUGUACAUUUGAAUGUCGUAGAUGUGCCUGUGUAGUCAUUAGUGAUCUGUGAAAAUACUAUUUUUUUCCCCUUACAUCUAUUUCACUAAAUUAUGUCAGUAAAGGUUUGAGGCAACAUGGAAACUUGCAGUUUCAAUAACGAUAAUUGUUAUGCAUAAUGAUAAUAAUGAAAAUUAUUACACAUAAUAUGUUUAACCACAUGUUGACUCUCGGUUGCAAAAAGAGAUGUGAAAAUAGAUUUUUUUUUUCCCCCGUUUCCCAGCUUGCUUCAGUAGGAAGGCUGUGAUAGGCUUUUGGUUGGUUUAAUGUUUGAUUUUUUUUUUUUUUUAAACACAAUAAACUGUAGGAAUACAAUGCCCAUAGGAUCCUGCAGGAAAAAAAAAAGAUUGUGAUUGAGUGAGGUUUGUCCUAUGACAUAUGCCUGCAUUUAUGUUUAGUACUGUGAAAUCCAUUAAAUAUUCAAAAAGAG
Molecule: long non-coding RNA, 2514 nt
Organism: Anguilla anguilla (European eel)
Lineage: Eukaryota; Metazoa; Chordata; Actinopteri; Anguilliformes; Anguillidae
Exons: 2
Source: RefSeq, a predicted model, not a curated record